RNAcentral lists this ribosomal RNA (253 nucleotides) under uncultured bacterium. RNAcentral describes it as "partial 16S ribosomal RNA". It matches the Rfam family "Bacterial small subunit ribosomal RNA", at positions 524 to 776 of the family's 1533-position model. The record is from RNAcentral.
UACGUAGGGGGCAAGCGUUGUCCGGAUUUAUUGGGCGUAAAGCGCUCGCAGGUGGUCCGUCGCGUCGUGCGUGAAAGACCCCGGCUCAACUGGGGAGGGUCGUGCGAUACGGGCGGACUGGAGGCCAGUAGGGGGAUGCGGAAUUCCGGGUGUAGUGGUGGAAUGCGUAGAGAUCCGGAGGAACACCAGCGGCGAAGGCGGCAUCCUGGACUGGUCCUGACACUCAGGAGCGAAAGCGUGGGGAGCGAACAGG